UUGACUAGACGGACCUUUGUUGGAAUAAAGAGAUAAAUAAAGAAAUAAUCCUGAGGAGGAGAGGUUGAAACCUCUUAAAAUAAUAAUAAGUCAGUCAUUUCUCACUUCUUGUCUCCACCAGAAGGUCUUAGAGGAGAGAUUCUGCAGCCUGGCCCAGGGGCUUAGUACCCACCUUUUCCAGCUCACAAGACACAAGGGUAGGCAAACUUGUCCCUCGUGGGUCCCAGAAUACUCAGGAUCUGACUGCUUGCUCUUCCAUCUGAAGAAAAGGCAAGUGGAAAGAAAGGAAAGAAAAGGAAAAGGAAAAAGAAAAGAAGGAAGAAAAUAAAUCGUUGCUUAAAAUGGAUUCCUGUGUUUAUCACAAGACUAAGUUUCUGUCUAACAGAAACAGCAGAUGCUCACUUUCAACUUAUUCCUGUUAACGUCAAAGGGACAGUGGCAUGCCAUGCCCUCCACAGACGGACAGACCGACAGAAGUAAAAGGUGCUUCAGCUGGGCAAAGCUACCCACCACACAAUUGUUUUGGGAUGGAAGCCAGGUGGUUCACGCUCACGCACCCUGGCUGGUGCUCACAUCACUCACAGUCACGGUGGUGGAGUGGAGAAGUGGCAGCAGAAACACAGACACUUGUUAUAUAGACAGCAGGUAUCAUCAUCAUCAUGUCUAUGAAGUCACAAGUAUAUGAAGCAGUUUCUAAACCUUGGCUUGCCUCACAAUCACUUAGGGAUCUGGCUAAAAUGCGUAAUUCUCAUCUCUACCUUCAGAGAUUCUAUUGCAGCACGUCCAGGGUUCACCAAAGGAGUCUGGAUGUAAGCAGCAUCCUAGAAGGUUCUGAUGCAGUUGGUUCCUGGAAAAAUAUUGGUAUUUCUAGCAACAUUUCCAGGCAGAAGGAUCAGGAUCUGGCCCCUCACGCACUAGGAGAGCUAGGAUAGGUGUUAGAGUCCUAAGAGUGGCCACCAAGUCAUACACAGUGAGCCUUGGAAAUGGGAGGUAGAGGAAAGGGCGCGGAGAUUCCAGGGAGCCAGCUAUCCAGAUCGCAAGCAUAGAAAAUAUGAAGCUCACCGACACUCCCUCUCCCCACUGGGACUGACAACCAUCUCUCCGAAGGCAUCUGCUUUUCCUGUGAAAUGAGCCAACAUCAAAGAGUUGGCAGCCCUACCAAGUUAGUUUGUUCAUGCUUCCACUCUAAGCUUGCCUGGAGUCCAUAUUUCCAAUACUGAAUCUCAUAACCGCUUCUUGGGGGUUUUCAUAGGGUUAUCAGUAAAAAUAAUAAUCCAGAAGCACGCUAACACAGGACUCAAAAGGCAAAAACUGGAUUAUUUGGUGACAGGGAUAGAAAGCAAGGCGUUGUGAGGCGAAUGGUGCAUUACUUGGGAUUAGUCACCAGAGGGCGCCAGAGCAUCCUUCGCCAAAAGGUUUCAGUUCAACAAAACCCUUAUGGCGUCAGUUAAACAAAAACAUUUCCCCAAAACGACAGGUUCCACCGAAGUAACCCUAAAGGCAGAAGAGAGUGGACAGGUGGUCCCUGGAAAAGUCUUCUGAGGCAAUGCAAUUUCGUUGACGUUAUCCAUUUGGUGUUAAAAAUUGACACGACUUUCCAGACUCCUGAUACAUCCUGGUUUGCCUAAUACACAAAGUUUUACAUUUCAAUAUUAAAAAGCAGAGACAUUACUUUGCCAACAAAG
This is a long non-coding RNA of Bos indicus x Bos taurus (hybrid cattle), 1685 nucleotides long. The record is from Ensembl. NCBI's taxonomy places the organism in Eukaryota, Metazoa, Chordata, Mammalia, Artiodactyla, Bovidae.